RNAcentral lists this ribosomal RNA (445 nucleotides) under uncultured delta proteobacterium. RNAcentral describes it as "bacterial SSU rRNA". It matches the Rfam family "Bacterial small subunit ribosomal RNA", at positions 75 to 507 of the family's 1533-position model. The record is from RNAcentral. Lineage: Bacteria; Deltaproteobacteria.
GUCCUUCGGGGCGAGUACAGUGGCGCACGGGUGAGUAACGCGUAGAUGAUAUGCCUUUUAGUGGGGGACAACAGUUGGAAACGACUGCUAAUACCGCAUAAGCUUAGUGACAUUGAAAAAACUAAGGAAAGGGGGCUUCGGCUCUCGCUAAGAGAUUGGUCUGCGUGACAUUAGCUUGUUGGUGGGGUAAUGGCCUACCAAGGCAACGAUGUCUAGCUGGUCUGAGAGGAUGAUCAGUCACACUGGAACUGAGACACGGUCCAGACUCCUACGGGAGGCAGCAGUAGGGAAUAUUGCACAAUGGGGGAAACCCUGAUGCAGCAAUACCACGUGAGUGAGGAAGGCCUUCGGGUUGUAAAACUCUGUCCUAUAGGAGGAACGGCUUUACGGUUAAUACCCGUAUUGUUUGACGGUACUAUAGAAGAAAGCACCGGCUAACUCCGUG